RNAcentral lists this ribosomal RNA (482 nucleotides) under uncultured bacterium. RNAcentral's name for it is "partial 16S ribosomal RNA". It matches the Rfam family "Bacterial small subunit ribosomal RNA", at positions 30 to 507 of the family's 1533-position model. The record is from RNAcentral.
AUUGAACGCUGGCGGCAUGCCUUACACAUGCAAAUCGAACGGUAACGGGCCUUCGGGUGCCGACGAGUGGCGAACGGGUGAGUAAUACAUCGGAACGUGCCCGAUCGUGGGGGAUAACGAGGCGAAAGCUUUGCUAAUACCGCAUACGAUCUACGGAUGAAAGCAGGGGACCGCAAGGCCUUGCGCGGACGGAGCGGCCGAUGGCAGAUUAGGUAGUUGGUGGGAUAAAAGCUUACCAAGCCGACGAUCUGUGGCUGGUCUGAGAGGAUGAUCAGCCACACUGGGACUGAGACACGGCCCAGACUCCUUCGGGAGGCAGCAGUGGGGAAUUUUGGACAAUGGGCGCAAGCCUGAUCCAGCCAUGCCGCGUGCAGGAUGAAGGCCUUCGGGUUGUAAACUGAUUUUGUACGGAACGAAAAGCCUUCUUUUAAUACAGGAGGGUCAUGACGGUACCGUAAGAAUAAGCACCGGCUAACUACGUG